Molecule: long non-coding RNA, 536 nt
Filed under: Solanum tuberosum (potato)
Lineage: Eukaryota; Viridiplantae; Streptophyta; Magnoliopsida; Solanales; Solanaceae
Description: long non-coding RNA (STUB_LNC000293)
Source: RNAcentral
AAAUAUUCUAUACCCACCCACUCACUAACAUCCUAAUAAUAUACCCAAAUCAAAAUCUCCCAAAUUCUCGAUCAAUCCUACACCACCUCUGCCGCUGCCAUUUGAUUCAUCAUCAGCUGAUCAAUACUAAACUUUAGUUUCCUCAUCUUCUUCCAAACAAAAUAAUCUCAUUUCUUCAAGUUAAAAUUAAAAUCUUAUCGAUAUCCCAUUCCGAUGGCUUCCGGUCAUUUCUCUCUUUCCUUUUUUUCCAGUUACGAAUGGGUUUCUUAGUAUGUGAUCUGAGCUCUAAAUCCUGUUGAAAUUUUCUUAUGUGAUGUAGAAUUGAGAUUUUAAUUUUGAUAUGUGGUUAUUGGUUGAUAAAGAGUCUUGUGUAAUAUGUUUAUGUGUAAAUGUUUUACAUUUCCAGCUUAAAUAAUGUAAUUUGGAAAUAAAUUUGAUAUCUAAUUUAGGGCUGUAAAUAUUUGCUGAAAAGAGAUGGUGCAGUUGUAAUCUCAGUUGAGAUUGUGUUGUAAUUUGGAUUUGGUGUUAUUUGAGAA